UAGAUGCGAGAGUAGAGCAUAUCAAUAAGCGGAGGAAAAGAAACUAACUAGGAUUCCCCUAGUAACGGCGAGUGAAGCGGGAAGAGCUCAAAUUUGAAAUCUUCAAGGUUCCACCUUGACGAAUUGUAGUUUAAAGAAGUGUUUUCUGUUGGAGUUUUGGUAAAAGUUCUUUGGAACAGGACAUCAUAGAGGGUGAGAAUCCCGUAUUUGACCAUUAUUUCCAACUUUGUGAUACACUUUCAAAGAGUCGGAUUGUUUGGGAAUGCAGUCCAAAAUGGGUGGUAAAUUUCAUCUAAAGCUAAAUAUUGGCGAGAGACCGAUAGCGAACAAGUACCGUGAGGGAAGAUGAAAAGAACUUUGAAAAGAGAGUUAAACAGUACGUGAAAUUGUCAAAAGGGAAGCGUUUGACACCAGUGUUGUUUUUCCGAAAAUCAAUUACGAAUGUUUUGUUUUUGAGGAGUUAUGACUUCAUCGGCUUGCUCCUUUCUUUAUGAAACUUUCUUAAUGCACUUUUCGGUUAACAAGUCAACAUCAAUUUCUUUUGUUGUAAAAGGGUAUGAGGAAGGUGGCUUUCUUUUCGGAGAAAGUGUUUAUAGCCUUGUACCUCUGCAAUCGGAGAGAUUGAGGUCUGCAGCGUAGAUCCUUCGGGGUUAGAUACAUUUGUGCUAAGUUAUAGCUUUUCAUAGACAACUUGUUGACUAUGUUAAGUCUUGUAGCUUACUCGCUUAUGCUAUUUUACCUACGCUUAGGAUGUUGACACACGCGCGUGCUCG
RNAcentral lists this ribosomal RNA (773 nucleotides) under uncultured Neocallimastigales. RNAcentral's name for it is "partial large subunit ribosomal RNA". It matches the Rfam family "Eukaryotic large subunit ribosomal RNA", at positions 22 to 643 of the family's 3401-position model. The record is from RNAcentral. Lineage: Eukaryota; Fungi; Neocallimastigomycota; Neocallimastigomycetes; Neocallimastigales.